GUGCACCAGGCGCGAACCUUCGCAAUGCGGGAAACCGCGACGAGGGACUCCCAGUGCCUACGCUCAGCGUAGGCUGUUCCCGAGCCUAGAAAGCUCGGGGAGUAAGGGCUGGGUAAGACGGGUGCCAGCCGCCGCGGUAAUACCCGCAGCCCGAGUGGUGGCCACUAUUAUUGGGCCUAAAGCGUCCGUAGCCGGCCCGGUAAAAUGCCUGGGUAAAUCGUGAGGCCUAACCUCACGAAUUCCGGGUAGACUGCCGGGCUAGGGACCGGAGGAGGGAGAGGGGUACUCCAGGGGUAGGGUGAAAUCCUGUAAUCCCUGGAGGACCACCGGUGGCGAAGGCGGCUCUCCUAGGACGGGUCCGACGGUGAGGGACGAAAGCCAGGGGAGCGAACCGGAUUAGAUA
Molecule: ribosomal RNA, 403 nt
Filed under: uncultured microorganism
Description: bacterial SSU rRNA
Rfam family: Archaeal small subunit ribosomal RNA
Source: RNAcentral